RNAcentral lists this unclassified non-coding RNA (234 nucleotides) under fungal sp. RNAcentral's name for it is "partial internal transcribed spacer region". The stretch from base 1 to 46 matches the Rfam family "Eukaryotic small subunit ribosomal RNA", at positions 1786 to 1831 of the family's 1831-position model. RNAcentral also lists the same sequence under 1 other name. Lineage: Eukaryota; Fungi. The record is from RNAcentral.
AAGUCGUAACAAGGUCUCCGUUGGUGAACCAGCGGAGGGAUCAUUACCGAGUUACAAACUCCAAACCAUUGUGAACCUUACCUAGUUGCUUCGGCGUGCCGACCUGGGUGCGGCUCAGGCUGCAACCCGGGCCCAGGGCGGCCGCCGGUAACCCAAACCUCUGUUUCUACAGUGAACUUCUGAGUGGCAUAAAGCAAAUAAUCAAAACUUUCAGCAACGGAUCUCUUGGCUCUG